This 259-nucleotide ribosomal RNA is filed under the name uncultured prokaryote. RNAcentral describes it as "partial 16S ribosomal RNA". It matches the Rfam family "Bacterial small subunit ribosomal RNA", at positions 524 to 782 of the family's 1533-position model. The record is from RNAcentral.
UACGUAGGUGGCAAGCGUUAUCCGGAAUUAUUGGGAGUAAAGAGCGCGCAGGUGGUUGAUUAAGUCUGAUGUGAAAGCCCACGGCUUAACAGUGGAGGGUCAUUGGAAACUGGUCGACUUGAGUGCAGAAGAGGGAAGUGGAAUUCCAUGUGUAGCGGUGAAAUGCGUAGAGAUAUGGAGGAACACCAGUGGCGAAGGCGGCUUCCUGGUCUGUAACUGACACUGAGGCGCGAAAGCGUGGGGAGCAAACAGGAUUAGA